Molecule: ribosomal RNA, 468 nt
Filed under: uncultured bacterium
Lineage: Bacteria
Description: partial 16S ribosomal RNA
Rfam family: Bacterial small subunit ribosomal RNA
Source: RNAcentral
GAUGAACGCUGGCGGCGUGCUUAACACAUGCAAGUCGAACGGUGAAGGCGGAGCUUGCUCUGCUGGAUCAGUGGCGAACGGGUGAGUAACACGUGAGCAAUCUGCCCCUGACUCUGGGAUAAGCGCUGGAAACGGCGUCUAAUACUGGAUACGAGCUGCGAAGGCAUCUUCAGCAGCUGGAAAGAAUUUCGGUCAGGGAUGAGCUCGCUGCCUAUCAGCUUGUUGGUGAGGUAAUGGCUCACCAAGGCGUCGACGGGUAGCCGGCCUGAGAGGGUGACCGGCCACACUGGGACUGAGACACGGCCCAGACGCCUACGGGAGGCAGCAGUGGGGAAUAUUGCACAAUGGGCGAAAGCCUGAUGCAGCAACGCCGCGUGAGGGACGACGGCCUUCGGGUUGUAAACCUCUUUUAGCAGGGAAGAAGCGAAAGUGACGGUACCUGCAGAAAAAGCGCCGGCUAACUACGUG